RNAcentral lists this long non-coding RNA (611 nucleotides) under Gallus gallus (chicken). Lineage: Eukaryota; Metazoa; Chordata; Aves; Galliformes; Phasianidae. The record is from RNAcentral.
AAUAAAUAUAAGCUCCAUCAUCUCCAGUAAGUAAAGUGCCCAGAAAAGAUUUGUCUUCCUUCAAUAUCUGCUGUGCCUUUUCAGAUAGUUUCACAUCGCUGUCUUCGACCAGCCAAGAUGCGUAUCGUGGGAUAGCUGCGGUCAGUAUUAUGUGGCUGGUUUCUGAAUUAAUACUGCCAUCUUUUUCUUUUACGUGUAUCUGUGAUGUUAGGAAUGACUCUGAAAAGACAACAGAUCCCAAACACCCUCUUCCUGUGAGCAAGUCUGGAAUGUCAAACACCAUCAUAGAUGCUGUUUUAAUCAAACUCAGGCUAUCCUCAUUAUUUAAUGGAGUAACUCUUCCAUGAUUAUUCACAGCCUGAAUUUGAAAAGCAACUUUGGAGCGUAGUGCAGUUUUCAUUUGUGUUAAAUGCAGGCUGUCUAACACAGACAUCAGCAUCUGCUCUGCUGCUUCCUUGGCCUUGGAUUCAGUGGAAGUUUUAGCAUAGCACUCAAUGCCAGCAAGCACAGCCUCUACAACAGCAGUAUAUAUUUGCGACAACAGCAUAACUUGUUCGGGUUUCUUGUGUACCUCGUUGUCAUUUCCCAGGAAAGGAAUGUGAGUGGUUCCA